Non-coding RNA from Calidris pygmaea (Spoon-billed sandpiper), 129 nucleotides. The record is from Ensembl. Lineage: Eukaryota; Metazoa; Chordata; Aves; Charadriiformes; Scolopacidae.
AGUGGAGGACUAAUCAGACCAAGUCUGAAGAGUGAGACUGGGAUGACAGUAGCCUCCUAGAAGAAAAGGGAUAGGGAGAGCAGUCCUGCUUACAGAAAAGCAAAGGGCUGACUGUGCCAUUCAACACUU